Molecule: ribosomal RNA, 3080 nt
Filed under: Saccharomyces cerevisiae (brewer's yeast)
Lineage: Eukaryota; Fungi; Ascomycota; Saccharomycetes; Saccharomycetales; Saccharomycetaceae
Rfam family: Bacterial large subunit ribosomal RNA
Source: RNAcentral
AUAAUCAUGGAGUAUAAUAAUUAAAUUUAAUAAAUUUAAUAUAACUAUUAAUAGAAUUAGGUUACUAAUAAAUUAAUAACAAUUAAUUUUAAAACCUAAAGGUAAACCUUUAUAUUAAUAAUGUUUUUUUUUAUUAUUUUUAUAAUAAGAAUAAUUAUUAAUAAUAAUAAACUAAGUGAACUGAAACAUCUAAGUAACUUAAGGAUAAGAAAUCAACAGAGAUAUUAUGAGUAUUGGUGAGAGAAAAUAAUAAAGGUCUAAUAAGUAUUAUGUGAAAAAAAUGUAAGAAAAUAGGAUAACAAAUUCUAAGACUAAAUACUAUUAAUAAGUAUAGUAAGUACCGUAAGGGAAAGUAUGAAAAUGAUUAUUUUAUAAGCAAUCAUGAAUAUAUUAUAUUAUAUUAAUGAUGUACCUUUUGUAUAAUGGGUCAGCAAGUAAUUAAUAUUAGUAAAACAAUAAGUUAUAAAUAAAUAGAAUAAUAUAUAUAUAUAAAAAAAUAUAUUAAAAUAUUUAAUUAAUAUUAAUUGACCCGAAAGCAAACGAUCUAACUAUGAUAAGAUGGAUAAACGAUCGAACAGGUUGAUGUUGCAAUAUCAUCUGAUUAAUUGUGGUUAGUAGUGAAAGACAAAUCUGGUUUGCAGAUAGCUGGUUUUCUAUGAAAUAUAUGUAAGUAUAGCCUUUAUAAAUAAUAAUUAUUAUAUAAUAUUAUAUUAAUAUUAUAUAAAGAAUGGUACAGCAAUUAAUAUAUAUUAGGGAACUAUUAAAGUUUUAUUAAUAAUAUUAAAUCUCGAAAUAUUUAAUUAUAUAUAAUAAAGAGUCAGAUUAUGUGCGAUAAGGUAAAUAAUCUAAAGGGAAACAGCCCAGAUUAAGAUAUAAAGUUCCUAAUAAAUAAUAAGUGAAAUAAAUAUUAAAAUAUUAUAAUAUAAUCAGUUAAUGGGUUUGACAAUAACCAUUUUUUAAUGAACAUGUAACAAUGCACUGAUUUAUAAUAAAUAAAAAAAAUAAUAUUUAAAAUCAAAUAUAUAUAUAUUUGUUAAUAGAUAAUAUACGGAUCUUAAUAAUAAGAAUUAUUUAAUUCCUAAUAUGGAAUAUUAUAUUUUUAUAAUAAAAAUAUAAAUACUGAAUAUCUAAAUAUUAUUAUUACUUUUUUUAAUAAUAAUAAUAUGGUAAUAGAACAUUUAAUGAUAAUAUAUAUUAGUUAUUAAUUAAUAUAUGUAUUAAUUAAAUAGAGAAUGCUGACAUGAGUAACGAAAAAAAGGUAUAAACCUUUUCACCUAAAACAUAAGGUUUAACUAUAAAAGUACGGCCCCUAAUUAAAUUAAUAAGAAUAUAAAUAUAUUUAAGAUGGGAUAAUCUAUAUUAAUAAAAAUUUAUCUUAAAAUAUAUAUAUUAUUAAUAAUUAUAUUAAUAAUAUAUAUAAUUAUAUUAUAUAUUAUAUAUUUUUUUAUAUAAUAUAAACUAAUAAAGAUCAGGAAAUAAUUAAUGUAUACCGUAAUGUAGACCGACUCAGGUAUGUAAGUAGAGAAUAUGAAGGUGAAUUAGAUAAUUAAAGGGAAGGAACUCGGCAAAGAUAGCUCAUAAGUUAGUCAAUAAAGAGUAAUAAGAACAAAGUUGUACAACUGUUUACUAAAAACACCGCACUUUGCAGAAACGAUAAGUUUAAGUAUAAGGUGUGAACUCUGCUCCAUGCUUAAUAUAUAAAUAAAAUUAUUUAACGAUAAUUUUAUUAAAUUUAGGUAAAUAGCAGCCUUAUUAUGAGGGUUAUAAUGUAGCGAAAUUCCUUGGCCUAUAAUUGAGGUCCCGCAUGAAUGACGUAAUGAUACAACAACUGUCUCCCCUUUAAGCUAAGUGAAAUUGAAAUCGUAGUGAAGAUGCUAUGUACCUUCAGCAAGACGGAAAGACCCUAUGCAGCUUUACUGUAAUUAGAUAGAUCGAAUUAUUGUUUAUUAUAUUCAGCAUAUUAAGUAAUCCUAUUAUUAGGUAAUCGUUUAGAUAUUAAUGAGAUACUUAUUAUAAUAUAAUGAUAAUUCUAAUCUUAUAAAUAAUUAUUAUUAUUAUUAAUAAUAAUAAUAAUAUGCUUUCAAGCAUAGUGAUAAAACAUAUUUAUAUGAUAAUCACUUUACUUAAUAGAUAUAAUUCUUAAGUAAUAUAUAAUAUAUAUUAUAUAUAUAUUAUAUAUAAUAUAAGAGACAAUCUCUAAUUGGUAGUUUUGAUGGGGCGUCAUUAUCAGCAAAAGUAUCUGAAUAAGUCCAUAAAUAAAUAUAUAAAAUUAUUGAAUAAAAAAAUAAUAUAUAUUAUAUAUAUUAAUUAUAAAUUGAAAUAUGUUUAUAUAAAUUUAUAUUUAUUGAAUAUAUUUUAGUAAUAGAUAAAAAUAUGUACAGUAAAAUUGUAAGGAAAACAAUAAUAACUUUUCCAAAAAAGAAUUAUGGAAAGAAUUAAAUUAAUAUAAUGGUAUAACUGUGCGAUAAUUGUAACACAAACGAGUGAAACAAGUACGUAAGUAUGGCAUAAUGAACAAAUAACACUGAUUGUAAAGGUUAUUGAUAACGAAUAAAAGUUACGCUAGGGAUAACAGGGUAAUAUAACGAAAGAGUAGAUAUUGUAAGUUAUGUUUGCCACCUCGAUGUCGACUCAACAUUUCCUCUUGGUUGUAAAAGCUAAGAAGGGUUUGACUGUUCGUCAAUUAAAAUGUUACGUGAGUUGGGUUAAAUACGAUGUGAAUCAGUAUGGUUCCUAUCUGCUGAAGGAAAUAUUAUCAAAUUAAAUCUCAUUAUUAGUACGCAAGGACCAUAAUGAAUCAACCCAUGGUGUAUCUAUUGAUAAUAAUAUAAUAUAUUUAAUAAAAAUAAUACUUUAUUAAUAUAUUAUCUAUAUUAGUUUAUAUUUUAAUUAUAUAUUAUCAUAGUAGAUAAGCUAAGUUGAUAAUAAAUAAAUAUUGAAUACAUAUUAAAUAUGAAGUUGUUUUAAUAAGAUAAUUAAUCUGAUAAUUUUAUACUAAAAUUAAUAAUUAUAGGUUUUAUAUAUUAUUUAUAAAUAAAUAUAUUAUAAUAAUAAUAAUUAUUAUUAUUAAUAAAAAAUAU